GCCCAUGUGGUGGAACUGGCAGACACGUCAGACUCAAAAUCUGAUGCUUUCACGAGCGUGGGGGUUCAAGUCCCUCCAUGGGCA
RNAcentral lists this transfer RNA (84 nucleotides) under Helcococcus kunzii ATCC 51366. It matches the Rfam family "tRNA". Rfam says of the family: Transfer RNA (tRNA) molecules are approximately 80 nucleotides in length. Their secondary structure includes four short double-helical elements and three loops (D, anti-codon, and T loops). Lineage: Bacteria; Bacillati; Bacillota; Tissierellia; Tissierellales; Peptoniphilaceae. The record is from Rfam by way of RNAcentral.